Molecule: unclassified non-coding RNA, 311 nt
Filed under: Hevea brasiliensis (rubber tree)
Lineage: Eukaryota; Viridiplantae; Streptophyta; Magnoliopsida; Malpighiales; Euphorbiaceae
Source: RNAcentral
CUUGUGAAGCUUGUGGUCUUUUGUGGGAAGUAAAGACAUUGUAAAGUUUCUCAAGCACCUAGGAAGCUUGCUAAGAUUGUAAAGGCUUUGAAUCAUGCCUGUUGAAAAAGAUCAAAUAGUGGAGUGACUCUUAAAGUGGGACUUUGGGAAGAGUGAAUAUAGGCUAAGAGAGCCGAAUCACUAUAAACAUUGUGUUUGAUUCUCUUCUUCCCUUAACUCUUUAAUUUUCAGUAUUUUGUUUCUCUGAUUAUACAUUGAAUGUGUUUUAGAAUUUGUUUUAUUGAGUUAAUACUGAGCUUGAACAAUUAAAC